AUAUUCCCCCCAAAUCACAAUCCCAAUUCCAAUCCCAAUUCACGCCAAAACCCCAAAAGUCAAUUGUGUCUCCCUCUUCCUCCCUCCCUCUCUCUUAAUCUAGUUCUAAACCACAAAUCACCGGAUCCUCUUUCUUCUCUCGAUUCACUUCGCUAUAAUCUCGCAAUUCCAGAAUGGUAUUUUAGAAUCUCUGUUAUCAGUGAUUCUUCAAUCUUAUUUGCUCUCUUUCUCAAGGAUUUUCCAAGUUUUUUUUACUCCUUAAGCAGAUUACAUUGUGAAACACUGAAACUCGCUUCCAAAGUUCGAAACUUGGGCAGAGUCACAGAGACAUUAAGUUGAUUAAGAUAAACUAUUAUAAAUUUUGCGGACGAACUGGAAAUUUCUUCGACAACACCAAGUAGAGAAGUUGGAAGAAUUACUUAAAAAUAAAGAAGUUUAUACCAGGCA
Molecule: non-coding RNA, 447 nt
Organism: Nicotiana tabacum (common tobacco)
Lineage: Eukaryota; Viridiplantae; Streptophyta; Magnoliopsida; Solanales; Solanaceae
Source: RefSeq, a predicted model, not a curated record